GGCCUAAUGGUCUAGUAGCAUGAUACCUCCUUCGGGAUUUACUCCCUAGUAGAUUCUACUACCAUUGGAGGUGGUCCUGGGUUCAAUUCCCAGUUAGGCCC
Molecule: non-coding RNA, 101 nt
Organism: Termitomyces sp. T159_Od127
Lineage: Eukaryota; Fungi; Basidiomycota; Agaricomycetes; Agaricales; Lyophyllaceae
Source: the annotation of a GenBank genome assembly